GAAAAAAAGUUAUAGGGGAAAAUGUCAAGUGGUUGAAUAUUAUACAAUAAAGAUUUCCAUCCGUAGAUAAAGUGAAACGAAAGGGACACUUAGAGCAGCGGGGGACCAAACUGUACUUCUCCAAGACGUCGGAGGUGGGAGCCCAACCCCGGGCGGCGAAAACAUAGCUAAUGUUAUGUAGAGCCCGGUCACUUGGAGAAGUUAGAAAUCGACACAACACAAACGUAGUAAAACGAAGAAGCAUAGACGAAAUUCUCAAAAUAAUUGUGACCAAACCAUCAUAUCGGAAUCGUUCUAUUCUACGCGAGGAAAAGGAGAAGACAGCAGCUGUGACUUUGGAUGGCAAUAAUGACAGACCGUUGUUUAACCCCUCGUUGUUGGAUGCCCCGGAUUCCUACCGCAAACUCUGAACAUUUCCAUCUGGAUCUUCGCAACUAGCUAACCUCAAUCCCGGGUGACCACUCCUGGCUAGCGUUUCCAUCCCGGAGCAAACACCAAUCAGCCUGAAGCUAGCCCGGACAGGGCUCCUGUGCUACCACCGAAGCCCACUCCUGGGCUACAAUAUCCGGACCCCUUCUACUGCCGGUAUGGGGCACGAAACCCCGCCGAUCCUCUACGACCGACAUACCGACAUAAUCUGCCCGAGGAUUCCAACAAGCCCCUCAUGCACGACGCCCGCUGAAGGCCCAUUCUGCUAGGCCUGCUUGCUACCUAGAGCUACUUGAAACCCUACUAAUUCCACGACUGGUCUAUCGACAUCACCGCACGAAGAGGCAAAAACAGACUUACCCCCAUCACGACGUCCCCCAAAACUGGGACAUGCUUAACACCCCUCAAUCUCACACAAAUUAUCAAUGAACUCCAAAUCCGUAAACACGGGCAUCCUCAUAGAUGUCAUCCUAACUAACCCGCCCUCCAAAUACACCUCUGCUGUUUCCAAUCAAGAUCUCAGCGAUCACUGCCUCAUUGCCUGCAUCCGUAAUGGGUCUGCGAUCAAACGACCACUCCUCAUCACUGUCAAACGCUUCCUAAAACACUUCUGCGAGCAGGCCUUUCUUAUCGACCUGGCCGGGGUAUCCUGGAAUGACAUUGACCUCACCCUGUCAGUAGAUGAUGCCUGGCUAUUCCUCGCCAUCUUAAAUAAGCAUGCCCCAUUCAAAACAUUUAGAACUAGGAAUAGAUAUAGUCCUUGGUUCACUCCAGACCUGUCUACCCUUGACCAGCACAAAAACAUCCUGUGGCGUUCUGCAUUAGCAUCUUAUAGCCCCCGUGAUAUGUAACUUUUCAAGGAAGUUAGGUACAAAUAUACACAGGCAGUUAGGAAGGCGAAGGCUAGCUUUUUCAAACAGAAAUUUGCAUCGUGAUGGAAUUAACUCAAAAAUGUUCUGGGACACUGUAAAGUCCAUGGAGAAUAAGAGCACCUCCUCCCAGCUGCCCACUGCUCUGAGUCUAGGAAACACUGUCACCACUGAUAAAUCCACUAUAAUUGAGUAUUUCUCUACGGCUGGCCAUGCUUUCCACCUGGCUACCCCUACCCCGGUCAACUGCCCGGCACCCUCCACAGCAACCCGCCAAAGCCCCCACCAUUUCUCCUUUACCCAAGUCCAGAUAGCUGAUGUUCUGAAAGAGCUGCACAAUCUGACCCCUACAAACCAGACGGGCUAGACAAUCUGGACCCUCUCUUUCUAAAAAUUAUCUGCCGGAAUUGUUGCAACCCCUAUUACUAGCCUGUUCAACCUCUCUUUCAUAUCGUCUGAGAUUCCCAAAGAUUGGAAAGCUGCCACGGUCAUCCCCCUCUUCAAAGGGGGUAACACUCUCGACCCAAACUGCUACAGACCUAUAUCUAUCCUACCCUGUCUUUCUAAGGUCUUCAAAAGCCAAGUUAACAAACAGAUUAUCAACUAUUUCGAAUCCCACCAUACCUUCUCCGCUAUGCAAUCUGGUUUCAGAGCUGGUCAUGGGUGCACCUCAGCCACGCUCAAGGUCCUAAACGACAUCAUAACCACCAUCGAUAAGAGACAUUACUGUGCAGCCGUCUUCAUCGACCUGGCCAAGGCUUUCGACUCUGUCAAUCACCACAUUCUUAUUGGCAGACUCGACAGCCUUGGUUUCUCAAAUGAUUGCCUCGCCUGGUUUACCAAUAUAUACAAAAAGGUUACCCAUAUUUAAAGACCUGAGCUACAUUUAUUUAUGAAAUGUACUAGUUUAUUUAGGCAAUUCUAAUAUUUCUUUAGGCUUGGCCUAUUUAGUAGGCUAUUUCGCAGCAUAAAGCUAUAUUUGUCAGCAUGAAGCUGAGUGACUCACUCAUUUGUGGCUUUGGAACAAAAUAAAUAAGUACCAACAUUAUUCUGAUCAUCUUAAUAAAGAAAUGUUUUGACCAAGUUAAUCUGCUCAUGUUGUGUGUUCAAUAAUUUGUGACAUUGUGGUUACAAUGAAGAAUGUAAACGAAAUAUAUCAAAUAAAG
Molecule: long non-coding RNA, 2464 nt
Organism: Oncorhynchus tshawytscha (Chinook salmon)
Lineage: Eukaryota; Metazoa; Chordata; Actinopteri; Salmoniformes; Salmonidae
Source: Ensembl